RNAcentral lists this long non-coding RNA (5162 nucleotides) under Neogobius melanostomus (round goby). Its description in RNAcentral is "lncRNA (ENSNMLG00000003014.1)". The record is from RNAcentral. Lineage: Eukaryota; Metazoa; Chordata; Actinopteri; Gobiiformes; Gobiidae.
AUGCUGCUCAUCAAUGAUCAAUUCUUAUUCCAGACAAAAGACCAGCCAAAAACCACCAAGUCCUGUGAGUCUCAGCCCUCCAGACGAACCGAGAUGGAUGAAGGUGACUUGGGAGCCACCAUUCUACAGACAAAAGACCAGCCAAAAACCACCAAGUCCUGUGAGUCUCAGUCCUCCAGACUAACAGAGAUGGAUGAAGGUCACUUGGGUGCCACCAUUCUACAGACAAAAGACCAGCCAAAAACCACCAAGUCCUGUGAGUCUCAGCCCUCCAGACUAACAGAGAUGGAUGAAGGUGACUUGGGAGCCACCAUUCUACAGAAUGAAUCGGGAUCAGGACCUUUAAGAAAGAACGCUGGAAACACUCAUCUUAUAAAUGAUACAGACUUUGAUCAAUCAGAGGCUCCUUACAGCGGUUCUUCACUGCGAACUGAAAGCUGUUUGAUAUGGAGUCCAUCCUCCCCUGAUUGUUCCCUGAGCCUCUCUGAACAUCCAGUGUCAAGCCUGAGAAGGACAAAUAGCAUACUGACGAGCGGUCGCCUUGAUUUUGAUUCAGAUGAGCUAUAUGAUUCGGUUGACAGUGGUGAGGAGAAUAUUCCAAAGAGUGGUCAGGACGACUCUGAAGAUACAGACAAAAGUUCUAUUUGCACAUUUGAUCAGAAAAUGAUGAGAUUUCCAAGCAUAGGCAAGAUGCAAGAACUGGACAACACUUCUUUGAAGCUAACAACUCGAAAAGGGAGAUCACCUGUAAAAAAACGAAGAAGGAUUUGCAGGAGCUCUUCAAAUGGUGCAUCUAAGCCAAUUCAAAUGGGCACUGCUAAUACUACAAAACAGACAGGAGAUGGGGCUACAGGACCAAUGUUGGAAAAUUCUGAAUCAGAUCAAGAGCAAAAUGUCUCUUCCCUGGUUGGAACACCUGGCAGUUCACUUUUCAUACCUGCUGUUUGUAAAAAAGACGAUGGAUCACGAAUGUACAACAAAAAGCAAUACUGUUUGUAUUGUAAGGAAGGAGUUAUAAAAAUGGCAAGACAUUUGGAAGGUGCCCAUAAAGACAAACCAGAAGUUGCGCAGGCUCUGACCUUCCCAAAAUACUCCAAAGAAAGACAAAUGCACAUGGAGAUUUUGAGAAACAAGGGCAAUUUUGCACACAAUGUUGAAGUGAUGAACUCAGGUGUUGGAAGUCUUGUGCCACGUCAGCAGCCUAAGGAAAAAGCUCACGCUGGAGACUUUCUACACUGUGCAUAUUGCCAGGGCUACUUCAUGAGGAAAGUCCUUUCGAAACACAUGAAGCAAUGCAAAUUCAAACCCGACAUUCCUCUGGAACCUGGCAGAACACGUAUCCAGGCCCUCUGUGGCUUUACAGUACCUCCACCAGCUGGAGUAAAGCAGCAGCUGUGGAAUCUGUUGAACAACAUGGUGCAAGAUGAUGUGUUCCAUGCAGUGAAAUCUGAUGCUUGUAUAUUAGAAUAUGGUGAACAUUUGUACAACAGGCUUGGGCAUGAUGUCAGCAAACACGAGUAUAUUCGUCAGAAAUUAAGGGAGCUGGGAAGACUGCUCUUGUGCUCAAGAAAAACCACCCACAUGAGAACAAUUAAAGAGCACAUCAAACCUGCAAAUUUUAUGCACGUUGUCAACGUUGUAAAAGAAUUGGCAGGGUACAGUUCUGAGAAGCAAACCUACAGUUGUCCAAGUCUGGCAUUGAAGAUAGGAUACAGUUUGAAAAAAUAUCCUUGCUGGUUGACAGUAACGACAGUGCUGCAAAAGAGGCUCAAACAUUCCGCAGUGUCUAUAAAGCCAGAUGGAACGAAUUAGUAUCAUCAUCGUCGUCUCUUAGAACUCUUCAGGAGUCCAAGUGGAACACUCCACAGUUGAUACCUUUUACAAAAGACGUCCAGACACUCCACUCCUUUUUGGAUGCUGAGCAACAAGACCUUAUCUGCAGGUUGUCCUCAGACACAUCCCCCCAGACAUAUAUGCAGCUGGCAAAAGUAGUUUUGACACAAGUUACAUUGUUCAAUCGACGCAGAGCUGAUGAAGUGUCAAAAAUUCCUCUCUCUGUCUAUACAUCUCAUAAUGUAUCUGAUCCCCAGGAGGAUGUGAAUGUUGCACUUUCAGAUCUAGAAAAGAGACUGUGUCAGCAUUUCCGAAGAAUAGAAAUCAGAGGCAAACAGGGAAGUAAAGUACUUGUGCUUUUGACUCCAAAAAUGCAACAGGCAUUGGAUCUGCUCACCAGCAAACGGAAAGAAUGUGGGAUUCCUACAGAGAACACAUACCUAUUUGCAAGACCAUCCAGUUUGACUUACUACCGUGCCACUGAUAGUCUUCAGUACUUUGCGAAGGCCUGUGGUGCAAAAAAACCAGAAUGUCUGACUUCAACAAAACUAUGCAAACAAACAGCAACCAUGUCCCAAGUCCUUAACCUUAGUCAUACAGAGUUAGAUCAGUUAACUGAUUUUCUUGGACAUGAUAUUCGAGUGCACAGACAGUUUUACAGAUUGCCUGAGGGAACUCUCCAACUUGCUAAAAUCAGCAAAAUUCUCAUGGCUCUGGAGCAGGGACGUUUGGCCGAAUUUAAGGGCAAGUCCCUUGACGACAUCAACGUUGAUCCAGAAGGUACCGAAUAUAUAUAUAUAUAUAUAUAUAUACAUACAUACAUACUUUUAUUGGUCAGUUGUCAACAAGCUUUCAUUCCGGACUUCUCACACAUGCUCUGUUCAAACUAAUUUUUGUAUCUUAUCUUGUAUUUUGUAUAGUCACACACAUUCACCUUCAUAUUUUACUGUCAAAUUCAUUCAUUUUCACUCCCACAUUCCUCUCACAACCCAUCAUACAUUUAUCUCCCUCUCUUCCACAGAGAGUGUGCCCUUUGACAGUGACCAAGACAGUGACCUUGAGCACUCACUGGGUAAGGCCGCCUCUCCCCUGUAUGAUCCUAAAUCUAUCCAUUCAUGUAUCCUAGGAUGCUAUCCUACAUAUGUAUUUUUAAUACACAGUGUAUGUGUGUGUGUGUUAGUUGAAUUUGACUUAAUUAGUACAAUGAAGUACAAAUAAUGAUGAAACAUAUAUGGUACGGUAUUUGAAGACGAGUCAUUAUGUAUCUCAAAAAGGUUCCAGAUCAGAUUUAAAUGUAGUUUUAAUAUUUUAAGAGCUCAAUAAACUUUCCUUACUAAAAAUAUCACUUAUGAUAUACUGACUGUAUAUCAUAAGUGAGUCAACUAUAAUUGGACUAAUUAUCAUAAUUAAAAGGAGUAUUUGAUACAUAAUGAAAUCUGAAUUUGAUACAUUUUGUGGUGAUUGAUUAAAGAUUUCCUAUUCUGUGUAUUUGACCUGAUCACAUUUUAUGAUUUAGUGUUAAAUUUUACAGUAAAUUUCAAAUAAAUAGCCAGUAGGACGACAUGAUUGCCUAUGAGAUACACUGCAAUGCCAAUGGCAGUCAUUUCUUUGUUUUUUCACUCAGAGCAUCCGGUCACAACUGAGGAGGCGGAGACAGAUGUGAUCACAUCACAGGAGGAGGCAGAGACAGAUGUGAUCACAUCACAGGAGGACACGGAGACAGAUGUGAUCACAUCACUGGAGAACACGGAGACAGAUGUGAUCACAUCACAGGAGGAGGCAGAGACAGAUGUGAUCACAUCACAGGAGGACACGGAGACAGAUGUGAUCACAUCACAGGAGGACACGGAGACAGAUGUGAUCACAUCACUGGAGAACACGGAGACAGAUGUGAUCACAUCACAGGAGGAGGCAGAGACAGAUGUGAUCACAUCACUGGAGAACACGGAGACAGAUGUGAUCACAUCACUGGAACACGGAGACAGAUAUGAUCACAUCACAGGAGGACACGGAGACAGAUGUGAUCACAUCACUGGAGAACACGGAGACAGAUGUGAUCACAUCACGGAGGAACGAGACAGAUGUGACAAUCACAGGAGGACACGAGACAGAUGUGAUCACAUCACAGGAGGACACGGAGACAGAUGUGAUCACAUCACAGGAGGAGGCAGAGACAGAUGUGAUCACAUCACAGGAGGAACGGAGACAGAUGUGAUCACAUCACAGGAGGAGCAGAGACAGAUGUGAUCACAUCACAGGGACACGAGACAGAUGUGAUCACAUCACAGGAGGACACUGUGACGUCUACACAGGCCACAGAUGACGAGCACAAACAACAACAAAAACAGCUGAAAGGAUCCAAAGGUAAAUCUGGUCAAAUUUUGAGGUUGGUUGCCCAAAUGAUACAUAUAAUCAAAAACUAUUAUAAAUUAUUUUGGUAUGUCGAUCUAAAGGGCGACAACAGAGGAAGAGGAAGAGGUGGGACGAGGAUGAGAUUGCUGCUGUGGAGAGGCACAUGAUGUCUUUCAUCACAUCUUGCCAAGUUCCUCGGAAACGUGACUGUUCUAAGUGUAUCAACAAGGAAAAACGGCUCUUAAAAACAGAGAUUGGCGCGCCGUUAAGUUUUAUGUAAAUAAUCGCAUUACAAGUCUGAAAAGGAAAUUUUAAAGCCCUGGUUGGCAAAUGUUCAUGUUUGUUUAGUGGAUAUAAAAGUGCCAUUACUGAGUGCAGUAACUGACGAUGUUUAGUUUUGAGUCAGUAUUUCUUUGUAUUUUGAAGAUCCACCAAACAUUGCAAUAAAUGUUGAUUUCUCAGGCAGUUCUGAAAGUUAUUGGUAUUUUGAUUAACAGAAAUUGGACAAAGACAAUUGUCUUUUGGUUUGUCUAUAUUUGAGUUUUCAUGGCAUUAAGCCGUUGUUCCAUGAUCAUUUAAUUUAAGAUGACUUGUGUUAUAUAUAAUGAUAUUAAACAUAGCAUCUUUGGCGGUAUGAGUAUGAGAGUCAUUUGCGGUGGCCUAGUCAUAGAACUUAAUGAAAGCAACUUCUAACACCAUACUCUGGAUUAAAGUCGUGUUCAGUGGAAAAAAACGUAUACAUGUAUCCUACACAGCAUGGCUACUGACAAAUUAAUUGAUAUCAUGAUCAUUAUCAUUAUAAUGCCUUUGCCUUGCCUUUACUGAGAACAUAAUGAGUUCUUUUUAAUUCAACAUAAAGCAUUUUUACCAGGAAGAAAUACUAAUGUUUCAAGUCAAAUUACAAGGUUAUUAACACAUUGGCCUAGUUUACGGUCAUUUUGGAAAAUUAACUUACACACUCAGUGUAAGUAUGUGUG